UUUGCCCCAUACCCCAAUUAUUGCAAGAAAGUGCUGAGAAAAUAUUCACUAUUUUAAUAUGUCAAAGUCAGAGCAGAGCACUGUCCAUGAUUUGGUUAGUUGAACGUAGACGUUUUCCAUACAGCCACAGUAGGCAAAUAUAGAUAAAACGGUCGCUGUUUAAAUCUGUUUAUUGUAAUGACUUGAUCACAAAAGUGAACUAAAAGUUGGUACUGUCAGACCUAUCUGUAUCUUUAUUCUUCACCGCUUCACGAAGUAAACACUAAAUGUUUGUGUAUUACUUCUAAACAUUAGUAGUUUCGUUAAGCAGUAAUGCGGGAAGUGUAAUCGCUUCUGCAGCUGACAGGGGUCCAUCAGAAGGCGAGUCGUCAGAAAUGCAUCUACUUUUAGAAGAUGGUGCCUACAAAAACAUACAAGUCGGCUAGAAAAACAUUCAUCGCAUUUUUCUGUCAAGAAACAUACAUCACAUUCUUGGCCCCCCUAUUCCCGCUUGUUCCUCACGGAAUAGAAACGGAGCUCGUCGGGCUCAUCGUCUGACGCUCAGUUGCACUUGGCCUUCAUGUAUCAUCAAGGAAAGUCACGGCUAAUCGCAAGUUCAACUUUGCUCAGCAAAGAUGUCCAACUUCCCAAAGACACUGUUGAUAUCAGCAUACAGGAAUGAAGACUUCGGUGGCGCGAUGUUACGUUUUAGGGUUGAGGUAUGCCAGAGGCAGCAUUUGAGCCAAGUAUGGAUUGCAACACUCGAGCUUCUAAGACCAACAUGCUGUACAUGCUACUUGCUACUUCCGGAUGGCAGGCAUCAGCGGUGAUUCUCGAGUUUCUGAUGUCGCAAAUGGCAAAGUAAGUUUUUUCUACGUGGAGUUUUGUAAUAUCAGAUUCUACUAUUACAAAUUAGAUGAUGUCCACGCCUUCUAGUCUUGCCACUUGUUUAGUCUUUAUGGUAGCAAUAUCUACCCCAUCCCAACCGAAAAAGGGACAAAUUUGCUAACCAGCACUGAACAAAUC
Long non-coding RNA from Branchiostoma floridae (Florida lancelet), 1005 nucleotides. RefSeq lists it as uncharacterized. The record is from RefSeq and is a predicted model, not a curated record. The transcript has 3 exons. NCBI's taxonomy places the organism in Eukaryota, Metazoa, Chordata, Leptocardii, Amphioxiformes, Branchiostomatidae.